CCUACGGGAGGCAGCAGUGAGGAAUAUUGGUCAAUGGCCGUAAGGCUGAACCAGCCACGCCGCGUGAAGGAAGAAGGAUCUAUGGUCUGUAAACUUCUUUUAUAGGGGAAUAAAGGUAUCCACGUGAGGAUAUUCGCAUGUACCCUAUCGAUACAGAUCGGCUAACACCGCGCCAGCAGCCGCGGUAAUACGGAGGAUGCGAGCGUUAUCCGGAUUUAUGGGGUUUAAAGGGUGCGUAGGUUGUUUUUUAAGUCAGCGGUGAAAGUUUGUGGCUCAACCAUAAAAUUGCCGUUGAAACUGCAAGACUUGAGUGUGUUUGAGGUAGGCGGAAUGCGUGGUGUAGCGGUGAAAUGCAUAGAUAUCACGCAGAACUCCGAUGGCGAAGGCAGCUUACCGGCGCCCAACUGACGCUGAAGCACGAAAGCGUGGGUAUCGAACAGGAUUAGAUACCCUUGUAGUC
RNAcentral lists this ribosomal RNA (460 nucleotides) under uncultured bacterium. Its description in RNAcentral is "partial 16S ribosomal RNA". It matches the Rfam family "Bacterial small subunit ribosomal RNA", at positions 338 to 795 of the family's 1533-position model. The record is from RNAcentral.